This 253-nucleotide ribosomal RNA is filed under the name uncultured Prevotella sp. RNAcentral's name for it is "partial 16S ribosomal RNA". It matches the Rfam family "Bacterial small subunit ribosomal RNA", at positions 524 to 776 of the family's 1533-position model. The record is from RNAcentral. Lineage: Bacteria; Pseudomonadati; Bacteroidota; Bacteroidia; Bacteroidales; Prevotellaceae.
UACGGAAGGUCCGGGCGUUAUCCGGAUUUAUUGGGUUUAAAGGGAGCGUAGGCCGGUCUUUAAGCGUGCCGUGAAAUUUUGUGGCUCAACCAUGAGAGUGCGGCGCGAACUGGAGACCUUGAGUGCGCGGAAGGCAGGCGGAAUUCGUGGUGUAGCGGUGAAAUGCAUAGAUAUCACGCAGAACCCCGAUUGCGAAGGCAGCAUACCGGUGCACAACUGACGCUCAGGCACGAAAGUGUGGGUAUCAAACAGG